AAACCUAAGUAUAUAAACCUUAUUGUUACUGUGCCCUAGCCACCAUCCACCCGAGCCUUUCCCAUUUCUUCCUCUCUCGCUCGAACCGCCGCAAAUGCCACCCCCUCUCGUUCGAUCGCCGGAGCUGGAUUUGCCGCCGAGCUCCCGGAGUUGCCCUCCCUUGCACGGGCUGCCUUCGGCCAAGAGCAGGGAGGUGUCGUCCUUUCAUGUGCGGCACCUGAUUACCGGCGCCGAUUUCCCUUCUUCUCUAUGCCCUAGCCGUCUCCCUCCCUCUCUCAGCCGAUGUCGCGCCACACGCCACCGCCCGACGCCGGUUACCCCUUCGUGUCGUGCCCUAGAUCCCUAUUCCACCGCCGAGCGUCGCCGUGAUGCACUGCUUGAUGUCAAUUCUCCAGCCACUGGGUGGAUUCGGCCGAGAGCAGGGAGCGUGGCUGGGGUCGUCGCUUUUCGCCUCGUCUAAGCCGGCCGCUUCAUCCACCGCUGCCAAUUUCUCCCCUGUCAUAGCCAGAGCAGAUCCAUUAUCGACCGACAGGAGGAAUUAGAUCCAUUUCCCGAUCAAUUGAGCACUGACUGAACAGUACCUUUACACGAGGUCUCCUUGUUGCACAUCUAGAGUUUGGGUGACAGCAGCUCUACUUAGCAUCGGCUGCCAUUCUCCAGCAGCGACAUUCUUCAGUAGCGAAUCAUCAGUUGGGGCAUCCGGAUUUGGAGGUAUUCUUGCUGGGGUGAAUGCAUCUGAUUUAUUAUCCAUACAUUGAGGACUCUGAUUACGAGACGGUAGUUUCUGACGUGAGGAUUGUUUGGCACGAUCUACGUAUAAAGGCGGGUAUUUCUUGCUCUAUCUCUUUAGUAUGUUGACCAUAGUGCAUGAGCUUUAUAUUCAGAUAGAUACUGUGUUUAUCUUGACUCCACUCUUAUUCUUCCUGCGUUUGAUACUUCCACUCAAUCUUUGAGCUACUCGUUUCUGUAUCUAUACAGUCUCUCGUUG
Molecule: long non-coding RNA, 988 nt
Organism: Zingiber officinale
Lineage: Eukaryota; Viridiplantae; Streptophyta; Magnoliopsida; Zingiberales; Zingiberaceae
Exons: 4
Source: RefSeq, a predicted model, not a curated record